CAGAGGGGGCAAGCGUUGUUCGGAAUUACUGGGCGUAAAGGGCGCGUAGGCGGCCUGCUAAGUCGAACGUGAAAUCCCUGGGCUCAACCCAGGAACUGCGUCCGAUACUGGUUGGCUUGAAUCCGGGAGAGGGAUGUGGAAUUCCAGGUGUAGCGGUGAAAUGCGUAGAUAUCUGGAGGAACACCGGUGGCGAAGGCGGCAUCCUGGACCGGUAUUGACGCUGAGGCGCGAAAGCCAGGGGAGCAAACAGGAUUAGAUACCCCGGUAGUCCUGGCCCUAAACGAUGAAUGCUUGGUGUGGCGGGUAUCGAUCCCUGCCGUGCCGAAGCUAACGCAUUAAGCAUUCCGCCUGGGGAGUACGGUCGCAAGGCUG
This 372-nucleotide ribosomal RNA is filed under the name uncultured organism. RNAcentral's name for it is "bacterial SSU rRNA". It matches the Rfam family "Bacterial small subunit ribosomal RNA", at positions 526 to 896 of the family's 1533-position model. The record is from RNAcentral.